This 638-nucleotide ribosomal RNA is filed under the name Pluteus sp. AJ-2015l. RNAcentral describes it as "eukaryotic LSU rRNA". The stretch from base 245 to 398 matches the Rfam family "5.8S ribosomal RNA". The record is from RNAcentral. Lineage: Eukaryota; Fungi; Basidiomycota; Agaricomycetes; Agaricales; Pluteaceae.
AAGGUUUCCGUAGGUGAACCUGCGGAAGGAUCAUUAUUGAACAAACUGGUGUUGGCUGAGCUGGCCUUUUCGGAGGCAUGUGCACGGCCCGCCAUUGUUUCAUCCUUCUCUUCCACCUGUGCACUUCUGUGGGCCCACUCCAGUACACUUUGUGCGCUGGAAUCUGGUGCCUACGUUUUACUACCUACACCAUUGAAUGUUUAGAACGCAUGAAUAGGGCAUUCUUGCCCAUAAAACCUUAUACAACUUUCAACAACGGAUCUCUUGGCUCUCGCAUCGAUGAAGAACGCAGCGAAAUGCGAUAAGUAAUGUGAAUUGCAGAAUUCAGUGAAUCAUCGAAUCUUUGAACGCACCUUGCGCUCCUUGGCAUUCCGAGGAGCAUGCCUGUUUGAGUGUCAUUAAAUCAUCAACCACCUCAUCAUUGAGAGGGUUGGACUUGGAGGUUCUGCUGGCCCUAUCCGGGACCGGCUCCUCUGAAAAGCAUUAGCAGGGGCUCAUCUUGUGCGAUCUGCAGCCUUGUGUGAUAGUAUCUACACUCGGCGCGGUCACAUUCACCCAGCUUCUAGCCGUCCGCUUGGACAACACAAUUGACCACUUGGCCUCAAAUCAGGUAGGAUUACCCGCUGAACUUAAGCAUA